Non-coding RNA from Podarcis lilfordi (Lilford's wall lizard), 86 nucleotides. NCBI's taxonomy places the organism in Eukaryota, Metazoa, Chordata, Lepidosauria, Squamata, Lacertidae. The record is from the annotation of a GenBank genome assembly.
UGGGAGAAGAGCAUAGCUCAGCAGUAGAACAUGUGCUUAGCAUGCAGAAGGUCCUUGGUUCAAACCAGAGACCCACCAUCUCCCAU